AUAAGCUUUUUGAUGUGCUGCUGGAUUCAAUUUGCCAGUAUUUUAUUGAGGAUUUUUUGCAUCGAUGUUCAUCAGGGAUAUUGGUCUAAAAUUCUCUUUUUUUGUUGUGUCUCUGCCAGGCUUUGGUAUCAGGAUGAUGUUGGCCUCAUAAAAUGAAUUAGGGGAGGGGCGCCCAAGAUGGCCAAAUAGGAACAGCUCCAGCUUCCAGCUCCCAGCGUGAGCAACACAGAAGACAGGAGAUUUCUGCAUUUUCAACUGAGUCUCAAGAUGGCUGCCCUGGCCCAGGCAUUACAUCUGUGUUCCAGGCAUAGAAAAGGGAAGAAUGGCGAAAGAAAACUAGUGCAUGCCAGAUUGAAUGCAUGCUUAUAUUUGGAGUCCUGGAGCAGUUUGCAGUUCCAGAAAGUAAGAAAAUGCUUUCUUUCUCUCUCUCUCUCUCUCUCACACACACACACACACACACACACACACAAACACCGAUGGGGGGUACGUCAAAGGAAUGCAGGAGCCAACUUAAAGAGCUGCCAAUGGUUAAAGCUAGAACCAUAUGAGUAAUAAAAUAAAGAAGUAUUAGAUUGUAACACAAAGUAUAAAAUAAAUAUCCAUUAGUCCUUACUAAUAUAAAUAAA
This 626-nucleotide long non-coding RNA is filed under the name Piliocolobus tephrosceles (Ugandan red Colobus). Its description in RNAcentral is "lncRNA (ENSPTEG00000025588.1)". The record is from RNAcentral. Lineage: Eukaryota; Metazoa; Chordata; Mammalia; Primates; Cercopithecidae.